Molecule: long non-coding RNA, 104 nt
Organism: Poecilia latipinna (sailfin molly)
Lineage: Eukaryota; Metazoa; Chordata; Actinopteri; Cyprinodontiformes; Poeciliidae
Exons: 3
Source: RefSeq, a predicted model, not a curated record
CAAGAAAGGCUUAGCCUGGCGGUGGCGCUAGUAAAGGAUGGCGGACCGCCAGGCCUAUGAUACACUGGGGGAAACCCUGUGAUAUAUGCUGUAUAAAAUUAUGC